CCUACGGGUGGCAGCAGUGGGGGAUAUUGCACAAUGGGGGAAACCCUGAUGCAGCGACGCCGCGUGGGUGAAGAAGCGCCUCGGCGCGUAAAGCCCUGUCAGCAGGGAAGAAAAUGACGGUACCUGAAGAAGAAGCCCCGGCUAACUACGUGCCAGCAGCCGCGGUAAUACGUAGGGGGCAAGCGUUAUCCGGAUUUACUGGGUGUAAAGGGGGCGCAGACGGCGAUGCAAGCCAGGAGUGAAAGCCCGGGGCCCAACCCCGGGACUGCCCGUGGAACUGCGUGGCUAGAGUGCAGGAGGGGCAGGCGGAAUUCCUGGUGUAGCGGUGAAAUGCGUAGAUAUCAGGAGGAACACCGGUGGCGAAGGCGGGCUGCUGGACUGCAACUGACGUUGAGGCCCGAAGGCGUGGGGAGCAAACAGGAUUAGAUACCCCUGUAGUC
This 440-nucleotide ribosomal RNA is filed under the name uncultured bacterium. RNAcentral describes it as "partial 16S ribosomal RNA". It matches the Rfam family "Bacterial small subunit ribosomal RNA", at positions 338 to 795 of the family's 1533-position model. The record is from RNAcentral.